AUUGAACGCUGGCGGCAUGCCUUACACAUGCCAGUCGAACGGUAACGGGCCUUCGGGGGCCGACUAGUGGCGAACGGGUGAGUAAUACAACGGAACGUGCCCGAUCGUGGGGGAUAACGAGGCGAAAGCUUUGCUAAUACCGCAUACGAUCUACGGAUGAAAGCAGGGGACCGCAAGGCCUUGCGCGGGCGUAGCGGCCGAUGGCAGAUUAGGUAGUUGGUGGGAUAACAGCUUACCAAGCCGACGAUCUGUAGCUGGUCUGAGAGGAUGAUCAGCCACACUGGGACUGAGACACGGCCCAGACUCCUACGGGAGGCAGCAGUGGGGAAUUUUGGACAAUGGGCGCAAGCCUGAUCCAGCAAUGCCGCGUGAAGGAUGAAGGCCUUCGGAUUGUAAAAUGCUUUUGUACGGAAAGAAAAGCCUUCUUUUAAUACAGGAGGGUCAUGACGGUACCGUAAGAAUAAGCACCGGCUAACUACGUG
Molecule: ribosomal RNA, 482 nt
Filed under: uncultured bacterium
Lineage: Bacteria
Description: partial 16S ribosomal RNA
Rfam family: Bacterial small subunit ribosomal RNA
Source: RNAcentral